This 1520-nucleotide long non-coding RNA is filed under the name Mus spicilegus (steppe mouse). RNAcentral's name for it is "lncRNA (ENSMSIG00000011458.1)". Lineage: Eukaryota; Metazoa; Chordata; Mammalia; Rodentia; Muridae. The record is from RNAcentral.
AAGUCAACAUUGUUUUGUAUGCAGUUGUAAUUUUUCUUUUGUCUCUCCAGACAAUGUGCCUACCACCUGUGAAAACAAAACCAAACAAACAAAAAGCCCUGGGAUCACUGCAAAUCCAUCCACAAAAGGCACUCCCACCUUCAAGUGUCAGGUUACUUCUAUUGAAAAGGACUCAGAGAUGUGUACCCGGAAGAGAUCAAGUUCUAACCUGAAACCAACCUUGCGUGAGAGAUUUGUGGCUCCUGACCAAGAGAAGCCAAUACAAGGAGAUGGGCCUGAGCUCCUGAAUAUUCAAAACAUUAGUUUUUCCUUCCCACACAUUACUCAGGAGACCAAGGACUCCAUGGCCAAAAACAAAACAAAACAAACAAACAAACAAAAAACAAAAGGAUGAAGACUUGACAUACAUCAGAGAAGUACAAAAUGGAAUUACUCCCCAAGUGAACUUCGAGACAUAAUUAAUGUAUAGCAAAGAGAAUCGUAACCCCAUGUCUGAGAGUAGAUCUUGAUUGUGUUAGACGGGGUUGAGGGUUGAGAAUGGUGAAAGAUGAGUGUAUUAAGUAAGACUUUGUCAGUAAGGAAUCCUCAGCCCAUGACUGAAAGCUCCCUGGCUAGGGUACAGGGAAGAGUUCUAUUUGGUUUGGAUGCUUACCAUGAGCUUGGGCCUGGGGAAAGGGAAGUCAUGCAUUAAAUUAAGUAGACAUGACAGAAAUGCUUUGGCGGAAUUUUGAUCAAGAGCUCACAGACCCAGAGAAGCAAACUGCAUGCUGGAGUUAUUCUGUUAUGUAACAGCAGCUGUUAACUGGAGGGAUUUGAGCUCACGCUUACCUCUAAGCUGGCCAGGACCAAGCUAGGAUUGAGAGUGCUAUUCUUGAGCACGAGGGUCAAGGCCCUGCUUACAAGAAAUGUGUACAGCAGAGAUUUCAGUACAUACGACUUUACAUACUUCACAUUGAACUUACAUUUUAAACUUAAACUCAGCACUUACACUUGAUACAGUCUAUGCAAAAUUUCCUUCUCAGUUCUGGAAUACUGUGGAAUUCUACUUUCAUAUGAAUGAUAAUUUAUAUGUUAGAUUUCAAAAAAAGAUCUUUAUGUGGUCCCCAAUUUUGGUUAGUUACCCUUCUCUACACAGCUUUCUAGCUUACCUACUGCCUAGUUUUGAGUGGUUCUUUUAAUUUAUAUCUAAAGAAGUAAGUUUUUCCAAAUAGUCCCCUAGACCCUUGCAAAUAAGAUUAAUAUCUUAUGCCUCAGAAUUUGUUGAGGCAUUCUAUGCCUAACAAAUUAUUUGUUAGAAUUUUCCAUCUAUUAUUUUAAUAUUUCCGUUUAUUAAGCAUGACAUACCUGUGCUUAUCAUUGUUAAUUGCAAUGUAAACAUUACAACACUCAUACAUCAGCUCUUUAAUUGCCUGAAUCACUUUAAAUCCUUGAGAUAAGCUUAAUUAGAUAGUAGAUUUACUAUGGAAUGAUAAACUGGAAUGUGUAAACACACAUUAAUAAAGCCAGUUGUUUGCUCUGCA